This 73-nucleotide non-coding RNA is filed under the name Amphidinium carterae. The record is from RNAcentral. Lineage: Eukaryota; Dinophyceae; Amphidiniales; Amphidiniaceae.
GCCUUGGCAGCACAGUCAAGGACAAGCCUCAGCCUUCCAGUCUCCUGCAAGCACUCUCUGCUCUGUGGCACGG